RNAcentral lists this ribosomal RNA (459 nucleotides) under uncultured bacterium. RNAcentral's name for it is "bacterial SSU rRNA". It matches the Rfam family "Bacterial small subunit ribosomal RNA", at positions 345 to 793 of the family's 1533-position model. The record is from RNAcentral.
AGGGCAGCAGUGGGGAAUAUUGCACAAUGGGGGAAACCCUGAUGCAGCCAUGCCGCGUGUGUGAAGAAGGCCUUCGGGUUGUAAAGCACUUUCAGUAGGGAGGAAGGUAGUGUAGUUAACACCUGCAUUAUUUGACGUUACCUACAGAAGAAGCACCGGCUAACUCCGUGCCAGCAGCCGCGGUAAUACGGAGGGUGCGAGCGUUAAUCGGAAUUACUGGGCGUAAAGCGCAUGCAGGCGGCCUGUUAAGUCAGAUGUGAAAGCCCGGGGCUUAACCUCGGAAUUGCAUUUGUAAACUAGGCAGGCUAGAGUCUUGUAGAGGGGGGUAGGAAUUUCAGGUGUAGCGGUGAAAUGCGUAGAGAUCUGAAGGAAUACCAGUGGCGAAGGCGGCCCCCUGGACAAAGACUGACGCUCAGAUGCGAAAGCGUGGGGAGCAAACAGGAUUAGAUACCCUGGUAG